GCGCCCGUAGCUCAACGGAUAGAGCAUCUGACUACGGAUCAGAAGGUUGGGGGUUCGAAUCCCUUCGGGCGCGCCC
RNAcentral lists this transfer RNA (76 nucleotides) under Actinomycetota bacterium. RNAcentral describes it as "Actinobacteria bacterium (hot springs metagenome) tRNA-Arg". It matches the Rfam family "tRNA". Rfam says of the family: Transfer RNA (tRNA) molecules are approximately 80 nucleotides in length. The record is from RNAcentral. Lineage: Bacteria; Bacillati; Actinomycetota.